RNAcentral lists this ribosomal RNA (521 nucleotides) under bacterium 4746K6-B11. RNAcentral describes it as "bacterial SSU rRNA". It matches the Rfam family "Bacterial small subunit ribosomal RNA", at positions 1 to 525 of the family's 1533-position model. The record is from RNAcentral.
UAGAGUUUGAUCCUGGCUCAGAUUGAACGCUGGCGGCAGGCCUAACACAUGCAAGUCGAGCGGUAACAUUUCUAGCUUGCUAGAAGAUGACGAGCGGCGGACGGGUGAGUAAUGCUUGGGAACAUGCCUUGAGGUGGGGGACAACAGUUGGAAACGACUGCUAAUACCGCAUAAUGUCUACGGACCAAAGGGGGCUUCGGCUCUCGCCUUUAGAUUGGCCCAAGUGGGAUUAGCUAGUUGGUGAGGUAAUGGCUCACCAAGGCGACGAUCCCUAGCUGGUUUGAGAGGAUGAUCAGCCACACUGGGACUGAGACACGGCCCAGACUCCUACGGGAGGCAGCAGUGGGGAAUAUUGCACAAUGGGCGCAAGCCUGAUGCAGCCAUGCCGCGUGUGUGAAGAAGGCCUUCGGGUUGUAAAGCACUUUCAGUCAGGAGGAAGGGUUAGUAGUUAAUACCUGCUAGCUGUGACGUUACUGACAGAAGAAGCACCGGCUAACUCCGUGCCAGCAGCCGCGGUAAUA